Molecule: ribosomal RNA, 864 nt
Filed under: Burkholderia sp. NAR7(7)
Lineage: Bacteria; Pseudomonadati; Pseudomonadota; Betaproteobacteria; Burkholderiales; Burkholderiaceae
Description: bacterial SSU rRNA
Rfam family: Bacterial small subunit ribosomal RNA
Source: RNAcentral
CUUACCAUGCAGUCGAACGGCAGCACGGGGGCAACCCUGGUGGCGAGUGGCGAACGGGUGAGUAAUACAUCGGAACGUGUCCUGUAGUGGGGGAUAGCCCGGCGAAAGCCGGAUUAAUACCGCAUACGCUCUACGGAGGAAAGGGGGGGAUCUUAGGACCUCCCGCUACAGGGGCGGCCGAUGGCAGAUUAGCUAGUUGGUGGGGUAAAGGCCUACCAAGGCGACGAUCUGUAGCUGGUCUGAGAGGACGACCAGCCACACUGGGACUGAGACACGGCCCAGACUCCUACGGGAGGCAGCAGUGGGGAAUUUUGGACAAUGGGCGAAAGCCUGAUCCAGCAAUGCCGCGUGUGUGAAGAAGGCCUUCGGGUUGUAAAGCACUUUUGUCCGGAAAGAAAACCUCCGCCCUAAUAUGGUGGGGGGAUGACGGUACCGGAAGAAUAAGCACCGGCUAACUACGUGCCAGCAGCCGCGGUAAUACGUAGGGUGCAAGCGUUAAUCGGAAUUACUGGGCGUAAAGCGUGCGCAGGCGGUCCGCUAAGACAGAUGUGAAAUCCCCGGGCUUAACCUGGGAACUGCAUUUGUGACUGGCGGGCUAGAGUAUGGCAGAGGGGGGUAGAAUUCCACGUGUAGCAGUGAAAUGCGUAGAGAUGUGGAGGAAUACCGAUGGCGAAGGCAGCCCCCUGGGCCAAUACUGACGCUCAUGCACGAAAGCGUGGGGAGCAAACAGGAUUAGAUACCCUGGUAGUCCACGCCCUAAACGAUGUCAACUAGUUGUUGGGGAUUCAUUUCCUUAGUAACGUAGCUAACGCGUGAAGUUGACCGCCUGGGGAGUACGGUCGCAAGAUUAAAACUCAAGGAAAU